Molecule: non-coding RNA, 91 nt
Filed under: Entomoneis paludosa
Lineage: Eukaryota; Bacillariophyta; Bacillariophyceae; Surirellales; Surirellaceae
Source: RNAcentral
GCGGUCUCUUGUCAGGAUUGACACCCCAAUUCAUGGUGCGGGGCAAGUUAUUGUCGCAUUUGCAAAAGGUUCAAGAUGCCGAUGAAUUCUU